GAUGAACGCUGGCGGCGUGCCUAAUACAUGCAAGUCGAGCGAACGGACGAGAAGCUUGCUUCUCUGAUGUUAGCGGCGGACGGGUGAGUAACACGUGGAUAACCUACCUAUAAGACUGGGAUAACUUCGGGAAACCGGAGCUAAUACCGGAUAACAUUUUGAACCGCAUGAUUCAAAAGUGAAAGACGGUCUUGCUGUCACUUAUAGAUGGAUCCGCGCUGCAUUAGCUAGUUGGUAAGGUAACGGCUUACCAAGGCAACGAUGCAUAGCCGACCUGAGAGGGUGAUCGGCCACACUGGAACUGAGACACGGUCCAGACUCCUACGGGAGGCAGCAGUAGGGAAUCUUCCGCAAUGGGCGAAAGCCUGACGGAGCAACGCCGCGUGAGUGAUGAAGGUCUUCGGAUCGUAAAACUCUGUUAUUAGGGAAGAACAUAUGUGUAAGUAACUGUGCACAUCUUGACGGUACCUAAUCAGAAAGCCACGGCUAACUACGUGCCAGCAGCCGCGGUAAUACGUAGGUGGCAAGCGUUAUCCGGAAUUAUUGGGCGUAAAGCGCGCGUAGGCGGUUUUUUAAGUCUGAUGUGAAAGCCCACGGCUCAACCGUGGAGGGUCAUUGGAAACUGGAAAACUUGAGUGCAGAAGAGGAAAGUGGAAUUCCAUGUGUAGCGGUGAAAUGCGCAGAGAUAUGGAGGAACACCAGUGGCGAAGGCGACUUUCUGGUCUGUAACUGACGCUGAUGUGCGAAAGCGUGGGGAUCAAACAGGAUUAGAUACCCUGGUAGUCCACGCCGUAAACGAUGAGUGCUAAGUGUUAGGGGGUUUCCGCCCCUUAGUGCUGCAGCUAACGCAUUAAGCACUCCGCCUGGGGAGUACGACCGCAAGGUUGAAACUCAAAGGAAUUGACGGGGACCCGCACAAGCGGUGGAGCAUGUGGUUUAAUUCGAAGCAACGCGAAGAACCUUACCAAAUCUUGACAUCCUUUGACAACUCUAGAGAUAGAGCCUUCCCCUUCGGGGGACAAAGUGACAGGUGGUGCAUGGUUGUCGUCAGCUCGUGUCGUGAGAUGUUGGGUUAAGUCCUGCAACGAGCGCAACCCUUAAGCUUAGUUGCCAUCAUUAAGUUGGGCACUCUAAGUUGACUGCCGGUGACAAACCGGAGGAAGGUGGGGAUGACGUCAAAUCAUCAUGCCCCUUAUGAUUUGGGCUACACACGUGCUACAAUGGACAAUACAAAGGGCAGCGAAACCGCGAGGUCAAGCAAAUCCCAUAAAGUUGUUCUCAGUUCGGAUUGUAGUCUGCAACUCGACUACAUGAAGCUGGAAUCGCUAGUAAUCGUAGAUCAGCAUGCUACGGUGAAUACGUUCCCGGGUCU
This 1372-nucleotide ribosomal RNA is filed under the name uncultured bacterium. Its description in RNAcentral is "bacterial SSU rRNA". It matches the Rfam family "Bacterial small subunit ribosomal RNA", at positions 28 to 1381 of the family's 1533-position model. The record is from RNAcentral.